UCUUUGGGACUGGCCCCGUCAAGCGGCGUUGAUGAUCGGGUCCCACACGGCGAGAACCCACGAACCCCGCCAGGGUCGGAAGGCAGCAACGGUAAGUGGGCAAGCUCGGGUGUUGUGGGGCAGCCUGAUCGGAGUUGGCUGGCGGACGCUAAGCUGGAGAGUCGCGGUCGAAGAGGGGUGCACGG
Molecule: signal recognition particle RNA, 185 nt
Filed under: Chloroflexota bacterium
Lineage: Bacteria; Bacillati; Chloroflexota
Description: partial signal recognition particle sRNA large type
Rfam family: Bacterial large signal recognition particle RNA
About the family: The signal recognition particle (SRP) is a universally conserved ribonucleoprotein involved in the co-translational targeting of proteins to membranes. Archaeal SRP consists of a 7S RNA and homologues of the eukaryotic SRP19 and SRP54 proteins. In most bacteria, the SRP consists of a 4.5S RNA and the Ffh protein (a homologue of the eukaryotic SRP54 protein).
Source: RNAcentral